CGGAUUGUAGUCUGCAACCCGACUACAUGAAGCUGGAAUCGCUAGUAAUCGCGAAUCAGAAUGUCGCGGUGAAUACGUUCCCGGGUCUUGUACACACCGCCCGUCACACCAUGGGAGUCGGAAAUGCCCGAAGUCAGUGACCUAACUGAAAGGGAGGAGCUGCCGAAGGUGGAGCCGGUAACUGGGGUGAAGUCGUAACAAGGUAUC
This 207-nucleotide ribosomal RNA is filed under the name uncultured bacterium. RNAcentral's name for it is "partial 16S ribosomal RNA". It matches the Rfam family "Bacterial small subunit ribosomal RNA", at positions 1294 to 1500 of the family's 1533-position model. The record is from RNAcentral.